This 301-nucleotide ribosomal RNA is filed under the name uncultured bacterium. RNAcentral describes it as "partial 16S ribosomal RNA". It matches the Rfam family "Bacterial small subunit ribosomal RNA", at positions 509 to 808 of the family's 1533-position model. The record is from RNAcentral.
CAGUAGCCGCGGUAAUACGUAGGUCCCGAGCGUUGUCCGGAUUUAUUGGGCGUAAAGGGAGCGCAGGCGGUUUAGUAAGUCUGAAGUUAAAGGCAUUGGCUCAACCAAUGUAUGCUUUGGAAACUGUUAGACUUGAGUGCAGAAGGGGAGAGUGGAAUUCCAUGUGUAGCGGUGAAAUGCGUAGAUAUAUGGAGGAACACCGGUGGCGAAAGCGGCUCUCUGGUCUGUCACUGACGCUGAGGCUCGAAAGCGUGGGUAGCGAACAGGAUUAGAUACCCCGGUAGUCCCUGUCUCUUAUACA